RNAcentral lists this ribosomal RNA (1183 nucleotides) under Klebsiella pneumoniae. RNAcentral describes it as "bacterial SSU rRNA". It matches the Rfam family "Bacterial small subunit ribosomal RNA", at positions 31 to 1212 of the family's 1533-position model. Lineage: Bacteria; Pseudomonadati; Pseudomonadota; Gammaproteobacteria; Enterobacterales; Enterobacteriaceae. The record is from RNAcentral.
CAACAAGGCAGCGGCUACACAUGCAGUCGAGCGGUAGCACAGAGAGCUUGCUCUCGGGUGACGAGCGGCGGACGGGUGAGUAAUGUCUGGGAAACUGCCUGAUGGAGGGGGAUAACUACUGGAAACGGUAGCUAAUACCGCAUAACGUCGCAAGACCAAAGUGGGGGACCUUCGGGCCUCAUGCCAUCAGAUGUGCCCAGAUGGGAUUAGCUAGUAGGUGGGGUAACGGCUCACCUAGGCGACGAUCCCUAGCUGGUCUGAGAGGAUGACCAGCCACACUGGAACUGAGACACGGUCCAGACUCCUACGGGAGGCAGCAGUGGGGAAUAUUGCACAAUGGGCGCAAGCCUGAUGCAGCCAUGCCGCGUGUAUGAAGAAGGCCUUCGGGUUGUAAAGUACUUUCAGCGGGGAGGAAGGCGAUAAGGUUAAUAACCUUGUCGAUUGACGUUACCCGCAGAAGAAGCACCGGCUAACUCCGUGCCAGCAGCCGCGGUAAUACGGAGGGUGCAAGCGUUAAUCGGAAUUACUGGGCGUAAAGCGCACGCAGGCGGUCUGUCAAGUCGGAUGUGAAAUCCCCGGGCUCAACCUGGGAACUGCAUUCGAAACUGGCAGGCUAGAGUCUUGUAGAGGGGGGUAGAAUUCCAGGUGUAGCGGUGAAAUGCGUAGAGAUCUGGAGGAAUACCGGUGGCGAAGGCGGCCCCCUGGACAAAGACUGACGCUCAGGUGCGAAAGCGUGGGGAGCAAACAGGAUUAGAUACCCUGGUAGUCCACGCCGUAAACGAUGUCGAUUUGGAGGUUGUGCCCUUGAGGCGUGGCUUCCGGAGCUAACGCGUUAAAUCGACCGCCUGGGGAGUACGGCCGCAAGGUUAAAACUCAAAUGAAUUGACGGGGGCCCGCACAAGCGGUGGAGCAUGUGGUUUAAUUCGAUGCAACGCGAAGAACCUUACCUGGUCUUGACAUCCACAGAACUUGGCCAGAGAUGCCUUGGGUGCCUUCGGGAACUGUGAGACAGUGCUGCAUGGCUGUCGUCAGCUCGUGUUGGUGAAAUGUUGGGUUAAGUCCCGCAACGAGCGCAACCCUUAUCCUUUGUUGCCAGCGGUUAGGCGGGCACUCAAGAGACUGCAGUGAUAAACUGGAGGAAUGGUGGGGGAUGACGUCAGUCAUCAUGGGCCUUACGACCAGG